GAGAGUUUUGAAAGAAGAACUUUUAGAUGGAGACUAAAGGAUUACCUCUUAGAUGACCAGAAGAUUGUAGAAAAUGCAAAAAAAAAGCUAACAGAUUAUUUUACGGAUAACUGUGACAAGGGCACAAAGAUUAAUGUGGUAUGGGACGCAAGCAAGGCAGUGAUAAGAGGAUUUUUCAUUCAACAAAAUGCGAUUAAAAAUAAGAACAGAGAGAGGGGUAAAGAAGAAAUCUUAAAGCAGAUAAUGGAUAAUGAAGAAAAAUUAAUCCAGAAACCUAAUUGUCAGAAAAUAAUAGAAAACAUCAAAAUCUUACAAGCCCAAUUUGCCACAAUAAUAAAUAGAGAAGUAGAGUGGAACAUAAAAAAUUAAGACAAAACAAUUUUGAAUUUUCAAAUAAACAAGGCAAAUGGCUUGCAUGGCAAAUUAAAAGAGGAAAGAACAAGGUGUAAUAAAUAGAAUUAUAGCAGAGGAAGAAGAAAUAACUGAUCCAAAAGGAAUCCGGAAAGAGUUUCUGGAUUAUUAUAGAGGCCUUUACAAAAAUAAGGAGAGAAAUAAUUUAAGGAGAAUAGAUAGAUUUUUGAAAGAUAAAAGGGUGCAAAAAAUUCCAGCAGACAAGAAACAACGAUUGAAUAUGCCAAUUGAAAUAGAGGAGAUAGAGGAAACAAUUAAAGACUUAAAGAGGGGAAAGGCUCCGGGGCCUGACGGAUUCACGGCGGGCUAUUAUAAAGAGAUGAAAUCAAUUUUGGUGAAUCCCCUGAAAGAGACUAUGAAUAAUAUCUUAAGUAAAGGAGAAAUUCCGGAGACCUGGAAAGAGGCAUUUAUCACGUUCAUCCCUAAACAAGAUGCAGAUUUAACUCAGGUGAAAAAUUACAGGCCAAUCUCGCUGCUAAAUACGGACUAUAAAAUCUUUGCAGGAAUUCUUGCGAGAAGACUGAAGUGUCUAUUAUCAGAGAUUAUCCACAAAGAUCAGGCCGGCUUCCUUCCAGGCAGGCACAUGAAGGACAACAUAAGAAAUAUAGUCAAUAUGUUAGAAUAUCUAUCUGUCAGGAUUGACAAACAAGUUAUAAUGAUGUUUGUGGAUGCAGAGAAAGCAUUCGACAACGUGAUAUGGGACUUCAUGUUGAAAAACUUGGAACAUAUGGAAGUAGGCAAAGAUUUUUAUAAUGGAGUUAAAGCAAUAUAUACAGAGCAGAAGGCCAAAUUGAUUAUAAAUAACAGUGUGACAGAAGAAAUAAAGGUACAGAAAGGAACAAGACAGGGAUGUCCACUCUCCCCGCUACUAUUUAUAAUGGUAUUAGAAAUCCUUCUAAAUUCAAUCAGGCAAAAUGGAAAAAUAAAAGGAGUGGAAGUUGGACAAAAUGUGUAUAAGACCAAAGCCUUUGCGGAUGACUUAGUAAUAAUGACGGAAGACCCAACAAUUACAAUGGCAGAAAUUCUAAAAGAAAUAGACCAGUUUGGGGAAGUGGCAGGUUUCAGAUUAAAUAAGAGGAAAACGAAAAUGAUAGUUAAAAAUAUGGACCAAAGCAUAAUAGAAACAAUUCAACACCAGUCGCAGAUAGGGGUGGUUAAAAAAGUGAAAUAUCUUGGAAUCUGGUUAACACCUAAAAACAUAGACUUAUUUAAAAACAACUAUGAACCGAUGUGGAGAGAAAUAAGAAAGGACCUGGAAAUGUGGGGAAGACUGAAAUUGUCGUUCUGGGGAAGGAUCAACACUAUCAAGAUGAAUGUAUUACCAAGACUAUUGUUCUUAUUCCAGACCAUUCCUAUAAUUAAGGGGAGCCGAACCUUCAAACAAUGGCAAAGGGUUUUAUCAAGAUUUAUCUGGCAGGGCAAAAAGCCUAGGAUUCAGUUUAAACUGUUAACAGAUAUAAAGGAAAGGGGAGGCUUUGCUCUGCCAGAUCUUAAGUUAUACUAUGAGGCAUCAUGCCUUUGCUGGACAAAAGAGUGGGCAAACUUAGUGAAUACGGAGCUGCUCGAUUUAGAGGGCUUCGAUAAUAGGUUCGGCUGGCAUGCCUACCUAUGGUAUGAGAAAAAGAAAGUACAUAAGGGGUUUGGAAAUCAUAUUUUUAGAGGUCCACUUAUCGAAAUAUGGGAAAGAUAUAAAAAUCUAUUAGAACCCAAGGUCCCACAUUGGCUCUCACCUCUUGAAGCGAUAAGUGUGAAGAAAACUAACAUGAGAAGUAAUUGGGCAACAUAUGGUCAACUAUCAAUUAAAGAAGAUGGGAAAUGGAAGCUAAAGCCAUAUGAGCAGGUUAAGGGUGAGGUGUAUGAUUGGUUACACUACUUCCAAGUCAAUGAAAGGUUCAGAAAAGAUAUUAAAGAAAGAGGGUAUGCAGACAAAGAUUCAAAAUUUCAGAAGGAGAUCCUAAACAAUGACGUGAAAAUAAUAUCCAAAAUGUAUAGGAUAUUGUUAGAUUGGAACUUAGGGGAUGAGGAGGUCAAAGUAGUAAUGACUCGUUGGGCUAAAGAUAUGGGCCAUAACAUACAAUUUGAAGACUGGGAGAAAUUAUGGAAAGAUGGUCUAAAUUUUACUGCGUGUGUAACGGUAAAGGAAAAUGUCAUGAAGAUGUUCUACAGGUGGUACAUAACACCUGUGAAAUUAUCGAAAAUGUAUAAGGUAUCCAGUAGAUGUUGGAAGUGUAAAGAAAAGGAGGGCUCCUUUUACCAUAUAUGGUGGGAGUGCGGGAAAGUGAGAGAAUUUUGGGAAAAAAUAUAUGUCGAACUAAAGAAGGUAUUGAAGUAUACGUUCACAAAAAAACCUGAAAUCUUUCUAUUAGGGAUAUUAGGGAAUGAAAUAAAAAAGAAAGAUUGUAAAUUUGUAUACUAUGCUGCCACCGCAGCAAGGGUUAUAUUUGCUCAGAAGUGGAAAAAGCAGGAAAUCCCAAUGAUAGAGGAGUGGAGAUUAAAGUUAUUAGACUACGCGGAACUGGAUAGAUUAACAGGGAAGAUCAGACAUUUAAGAGACCAAAAGUUCAUUAAGGAUUGGGG
Non-coding RNA from Podarcis lilfordi (Lilford's wall lizard), 2988 nucleotides. The record is from the annotation of a GenBank genome assembly. NCBI's taxonomy places the organism in Eukaryota, Metazoa, Chordata, Lepidosauria, Squamata, Lacertidae.